AAUCCCGUGAACCAUCGAGUCUUUGAACGCUUGGUGCGCCCCAAGCCUUCUGGCCGAGGGCACGUCUGCCUGGGUGUCACAAAUCGUCGUCCCCAUCCCCCGCGGAUACGGGAUGGAAGCUGGUCUCCCGUGUGGUACCGCACGCGGUUGGCCAAAAUCCGAG
This 163-nucleotide ribosomal RNA is filed under the name Draba funiculosa. Its description in RNAcentral is "5.8S ribosomal RNA". The stretch from base 1 to 79 matches the Rfam family "5.8S ribosomal RNA", at positions 78 to 154 of the family's 154-position model. The record is from RNAcentral. Lineage: Eukaryota; Viridiplantae; Streptophyta; Magnoliopsida; Brassicales; Brassicaceae.